Molecule: ribosomal RNA, 406 nt
Filed under: Acinetobacter baumannii OIFC032
Lineage: Bacteria; Pseudomonadati; Pseudomonadota; Gammaproteobacteria; Moraxellales; Moraxellaceae
Description: bacterial SSU rRNA
Rfam family: Bacterial small subunit ribosomal RNA
Source: RNAcentral
AUUGAACGCUGGCGGCAGGCUUAACACAUGCAAGUCGAGCGGGGGAAGGUAGCUUGCUACUGGACCUAGCGGCGGACGGGUGAGUAAUGCUUAGGAAUCUGCCUAUUAGUGGGGGACAACAUCUCGAAAGGGAUGCUAAUACCGCAUACGUCCUACGGGAGAAAGCAGGGGAUCUUCGGACCUUGCGCUAAUAGAUGAGCCUAAGUCGGAUUAGCUAGUUGGUGGGGUAAAGGCCUACCAAGGCGACGAUCUGUAGCGGGUCUGAGAGGAUGAUCCGCCACACUGGGACUGAGACACGGCCCAGACUCCUACGGGAGGCAGCAGUGGGGAAUAUUGGACAAUGGGGGGAACCCUGAUCCAGCCAUGCCGCGUGUGUGAAGAAGGCCUUAUGGUUGUAAAGCACUUU